GGCUGGUCCAAAUGCAGUAGUUACAACUAACUGAUCACAGCCAGUUACAGAUUUCUUUGCUUCUUCACUCCUACUGCUUCACCUGACUAGCCCAAA
Macaca fascicularis (crab-eating macaque) is the source of this 96-nucleotide Y RNA. It matches the Rfam family "Y RNA". Rfam says of the family: Y RNAs are components of the Ro ribonucleoprotein particle (Ro RNP), in association with Ro60 and La proteins. Lineage: Eukaryota; Metazoa; Chordata; Mammalia; Primates; Cercopithecidae. The record is from Ensembl.